GCGGCAGUAGCUCAGUGGUAGAGCCCCGCUUCGCAUGCGAGGAGACCUGGGUUCAAUUCCCGGCUGCUUCC
Toxocara canis (dog roundworm) is the source of this 71-nucleotide transfer RNA. It matches the Rfam family "tRNA". Rfam says of the family: Transfer RNA (tRNA) molecules are approximately 80 nucleotides in length. Their secondary structure includes four short double-helical elements and three loops (D, anti-codon, and T loops). Further hydrogen bonds mediate the characteristic L-shaped molecular structure. tRNAs have two regions of fundamental functional importance: the anti-codon, which is responsible for specific mRNA codon recognition, and the 3' end, to which the tRNAs corresponding amino acid is attached (by aminoacyl-tRNA synthetases). tRNAs cope with the degeneracy of the genetic code in two manners: having more than one tRNA (with a specific anti-codon) for a particular amino acid; and 'wobble' base-pairing, i.e. permitting non-standard base-pairing at the 3rd anti-codon position. NCBI's taxonomy places the organism in Eukaryota, Metazoa, Nematoda, Chromadorea, Rhabditida, Toxocaridae. The record is from Rfam.